UACGAAGGGGACUAGCGUUGUUCGGAAUCACUGGGCGUAAAGCGCACGUAGGCGGAUGUGUCAGUCAGGGGUGAAAUCCCGGGGCUCAACCUCGGAACUGCCUUUGAUACAGCACGUCUCGAGUCCGGAAGAGGUGGGUGGAAUUCCUAGUGUAGAGGUGAAAUUCGUAGAUAUUGGGAAGAACACCGGUGGCGAAGGCGGCGAGCUGGUCCAUUACUGACGCUGAGGCGCGACAGCGUGGGGAGCAAACAGG
This 253-nucleotide ribosomal RNA is filed under the name uncultured bacterium. RNAcentral's name for it is "partial 16S ribosomal RNA". It matches the Rfam family "Bacterial small subunit ribosomal RNA", at positions 524 to 776 of the family's 1533-position model. The record is from RNAcentral.